This is a long non-coding RNA of Bos taurus (domestic cattle), 994 nucleotides long. NCBI's taxonomy places the organism in Eukaryota, Metazoa, Chordata, Mammalia, Artiodactyla, Bovidae. The record is from Ensembl.
AGACACUAGUUACCAUGCUAAAUAGAGUAGAUUUCAUCCUGCUGGGGAGGCCCCUUAACAGGGUUUUGGGGAAAGGAGUGAGAAUGAGAUUACUCAGUAGAGGACGGACUUGGGAAGGAGGAGGCACAGGAGAAGGCUAUGAUCAGAGGGCAGGAGAUGGCAGUACCAGUAAGAAGGCGGCUAUAGUAACCCAGUCAAUAACUCACCCUUUCCAAAGAAGGGUGGGGCUCUUGGCAAGUACCUCUGAUGCUGUAGGGGUUGAAGUGUCACAUCUGAACAAUGAGUUGCCUGCCACGUUCACCUCCUUUCGCCCACACCUCCCACCUGUGUAGCCCAAGGUCCCUCCAGGUUGAAGAGAGAUCCAUAACUCUGGCCACCAGCUGCCAACCCUCCGUGAUCACGGGUUCUACCUCUCUAUGUCUGCCCCUCAAAACAAUUCCAGUUAGGACCUUAUUUUCCUCUUCUCAAAACAAUGCAGAUACUGAAACACAUCAGUGAGAAUGGAGAGGAGAAAGGGGCCAUGAAAUGAAUCAAAUACAGGUUGGAACACCCAGCACCCUCAUGAUUGAAAAGGGCAUUGGCAUCUGUGGCACCAGCCAUAGACGAUUCCAAGCGGCAAAUGGCCUGGUAAUGAAAUGAACCCCAGUCAGCAGCAUAUCUGGUGUGGCAUCUUGCCUCAUCUUUCUUCUACUCUGGGAAGACAAAAUUAGCUUAUGGGGCACAAAAGGAUAAAACAAUGAAAGUCAAGUUCUCCCUGCAGAGGCCCCAGUUCUAGGUCUUCUCAGAUUCAGGUUUCAAGGGCAGAGGUCAGUUAUUUUGAAAGAAGACAAAGGAAAAACAAAGCUGAUCCAAGACAAUGAUUAAUAAACAUCAGAAAGCACGAUAUGUUUGAAUAGAAGAAACUUGUAUAAAAGACAGUAAUGGUAACUCACAUGUGAACAGUUUGUGAUCAUUACAAAGCACAUUCACAAUCAUUUUCAUGGAGUGGGGCAGG